AGUGAACGCUGGCGGUAGGCCUAACACAUGCAAGUCGAACGGCAGCACAGUAAGAGCUUGCUCUUACGGGUGGCGAGUGGCGGACGGGUGAGGAAUACAUCGGAAUCUACUUUUUCGUGGGGGAUAACGUAGGGAAACUUACGCUAAUACCGCAUACGACCUACGGGUGAAAGCAGGGGAUCUUCGGACCUUGCGCGAUUGAAUGAGCCGAUGUCGGAUUAGCUAGUUGGCGGGGUAAAGGCCCACCAAGGCGACGAUCCGUAGCUGGUCUGAGAGGAUGAUCAGACACACUGGAACUGGGACACGGUCCAGACUCAUACGGGAGGCAGCAGUGGGGAAGAUUGGACAAGGGGCGCAAGCCUGAUCCAGCCAUACCGCGUGGGUGAAGAAGGCCUUCGGGUUGUAAAGCCCUUUUGUUGGGAAAGAAAAGCAGAAGGUUAAUACCCCGCUGUUCUGACGGUACCCAAAGAAUAAGCACCGGCUAACUUCGUG
This 492-nucleotide ribosomal RNA is filed under the name uncultured bacterium. RNAcentral's name for it is "partial 16S ribosomal RNA". It matches the Rfam family "Bacterial small subunit ribosomal RNA", at positions 29 to 507 of the family's 1533-position model. The record is from RNAcentral.